UUCAGCACAAGGCCUACGCGAGCGGUCACACGUGUGCUUAAACCUUUUCAAAAUAUUUUUAUUUGUUUUUGAAUUUUUUAUAAAAUAAAAGGAAAAGAUUUUCAGCUCAAGGCAUACGCGAGCGGUCGCACGUGUGCUUAAACCUUUUCAAAAAAAAUUUAUUUGAUUUUUAAUUUUUGUAAAAGAAAAGGAAAAGAUAAAAAAAAAAUACACUAAAAGUUAAGUGACAGAAAUAAAAUAAAAAAAUUAAUAAAACAAUAAAAGGGAUGGGGGUGCCUAAAUAAGAAAAAAGGGUNUCUAACCUAAUUUACUCCUAAGAGUAAGUUGGGCCCAAGUCCAAGAGAAAAAGAGGUGCUAGAAAGGAAAACAAUAGCUACCAAAAGCAAUUCAAACAUAAGACCNGACUGGGNCUAAGCCCGAAAGAAAAUGGGGUGGUGCAAAGGAAACAAAUGGGUGUGCAAANGAAACAUUUUUUUGUUGAGCCCAAAAUGAGCCCAAUUCCAUUACCCUANACCCAUCAGGGUUUCCUCNGCCCCCCAAAACCCUCAGAAGGGUUCCCAUUCGACCCCAUCCUCCAGUGCGAANGUGACUCCCAAACCCUCAGUUCCCAAUCCGGCCACCGUCUNAGCCACCGUGAGCAACCCAAACGUUUCAGACCAGGACAUCAUNAGCGCCACUGGUUAUGACCCAAGGUCGCUGCCAAUCAUCGCCGGUCACCUUUACUGCCACAACAAAACCUUCCUCUACCUCCAAAACCUCAAUGCCACAGCC
This 771-nucleotide long non-coding RNA is filed under the name Vigna radiata. RNAcentral describes it as "long non-coding RNA (VRAD_LNC000949)". The record is from RNAcentral. Lineage: Eukaryota; Viridiplantae; Streptophyta; Magnoliopsida; Fabales; Fabaceae.